CUCGGAGUUUGAUCCUGGCUCAGGAUGAACGCUGGCGGAAUGCUUUACACAUGCAAGUCGAACGGUAGAGGGGGCAACCCCUCGAGAGUGGCGAACGGGUGAGUAAUAUAUCGGAACGUGCCCAGUCGUGGGGGAUAACGUAGCGAAAGUUACGCUAAUACCGCAUACGAUCUAAGGAUGAAAGCGGGGGAUUGCAAGACCUCGCGCGACUGGAGCGGCCGAUAUCAGAUUAGGUAGUUGGUAGGGUAAAGGCCUACCAAGCCAACGAUCUGUAGCUGGUCUGAGAGGACGACCAGCCACACUGGAACUGAGACACGGUCCAGACUCCUACGGGAGCAGCAGUGGGGAAUUUGGACAAUGGGCGAAAGCCUGAUCCAGCCAUUCCCGCGUGCAGGAUGAAGGCCCUC
This 407-nucleotide ribosomal RNA is filed under the name uncultured Limnohabitans sp. Its description in RNAcentral is "bacterial SSU rRNA". It matches the Rfam family "Bacterial small subunit ribosomal RNA", at positions 1 to 419 of the family's 1533-position model. Lineage: Bacteria; Pseudomonadati; Pseudomonadota; Betaproteobacteria; Burkholderiales; Comamonadaceae. The record is from RNAcentral.